Long non-coding RNA from Nymphalis io (European peacock), 373 nucleotides. RefSeq lists it as uncharacterized. The record is from RefSeq and is a predicted model, not a curated record. Lineage: Eukaryota; Metazoa; Arthropoda; Insecta; Lepidoptera; Nymphalidae. The transcript is spliced from 4 exons.
UCUGCUGUCAAAUCAAAGUGGCAAUGCCACCGUUGUUUACCAAAAGCAUACCUACUUAACAAAAGCAUAAGUUUAUAAAAUCUGAAUUUAAGGAAAACUAAGCAACAUAAUAAGAUUCAAAUAUCAACUUCAAUGGCUUUGAACCAAUAAUGCUGUUUAACAAGAAAAUCGAAACUAUCAGACUGACAAAUGACUGACUACGGAGAAAAAUUGACAUUUUAGACAUGAGAAUUGAACAGUGAAAAAUACAUUCGUCACAUUGGAAUUAACGGAGCAGGGAGUUUAAAUUAUAACAUGCACGGGUACGGCCAUCUUUAUUAAAAGAAAAAUAAUAAUUAUUGUACAACAUCCAUAAGACUUUUAAUACUUACCA